UGGUGGCCACCGUCUUACCCCGGCUCCACAGUCGCGCCGAAAAUGCGAUUUACCCGCAGCGGCUGUCGUUUAGACUACGUUUCCCAUCAGCCUCUUCUCAACAUCGCGAGAGUUGCAGCGAGACUGCCGCGAAGACUUGCGCGCAGGCGCAACCCCACCUUCUCUGCGAGACCGGCCGCAUGGCUGGAAGUCAUGGCUCCUGCAGUCUGGGGGUCGCUCGGCGAGCAGUCUCAGGCCUUUGGCAAUGGCCCGCCUUUAGCAUCUGCAGAGAUAGAAGCAAACCUGCAGGUUGAAGCUUAAAAGUAAUGAAUGGAGCCCCGAAAUGAAGUAAAGGUGCUGGUUGUGGACUUGGAAAAAAGUCACAUGAAAACCAUCACCUUAAGCUUUUGAGUGGAAGGGUCAUCGUAAUGAAAUUCCUAUAAACGGCUUUUCUUCUGCAAUUUCUCCUUGCCAGGGACAGUCACGGCCUUGGUUUCUGAGGCUGAAAAGGACCGUCCAGAAGAAGACACCAGGCAGCAAUGUUGCAGUGUGAGGCACAGAACUGAACAGCUUUGCCUGAGGCAAGUGAAAUGAUUCCUCUCCUGUCGUUUGUGAUCUCCCAUUGGUGCCGAUGGGAUCAGCACAGCCUCUGUUGCUAAUUGCUAAUGCCUAUAAAGUAUUCCCCCCAGGGGAGAAUCAUUUCAGAGUUCAUUGGACUUCAUCGUCAUAAGUGGCCAAAUAAUUCAAGUGACAAUGAGUUUAUCCCAGAAAAACUUGGGCAGUUAGAGAAAUCAGGGUAACUAAGAACCACAGCUGAGGUGAUCUGGGUACAGUCCUCCCUCGCCACUUGUGCUUCGACUUUCGUGGCUUCACUCUAUCAUGGUUUUUUCGAAUAUAUUAAUUAAAAAGUUGAUUGAGACAGUGAAAAUGA
This is a long non-coding RNA of Molossus molossus (Pallas's mastiff bat), 910 nucleotides long. RefSeq lists it as uncharacterized. NCBI's taxonomy places the organism in Eukaryota, Metazoa, Chordata, Mammalia, Chiroptera, Molossidae. The transcript has 6 exons. The record is from RefSeq and is a predicted model, not a curated record.